This 241-nucleotide long non-coding RNA is filed under the name Setaria viridis. RNAcentral's name for it is "long non-coding RNA (SVIR_LNC009138)". The record is from RNAcentral. Lineage: Eukaryota; Viridiplantae; Streptophyta; Magnoliopsida; Poales; Poaceae.
CAAGAUGUACCUUUGUAUGUGUAUUAUAGGUCCCAAGAAUGAAUUCCAAAGCACCAGAAUGAGAAGAAAAAGAAAAAGAAAGAUUUAGAAGAAUUCUAUUGCAUCCAAAUGAUGGUAAUGAAGUCGAGACAAAGACACGUGAACAAUUGAAAUGAAUCCUACUGAAAAUAGAGCAUCGACUUAAUCACCAAUUCGUACUGUGAUCUCUGGGAAUGUCACUGAACUAGUCGGUGACAAUGAA